RNAcentral lists this ribosomal RNA (467 nucleotides) under uncultured bacterium. RNAcentral's name for it is "partial 16S ribosomal RNA". It matches the Rfam family "Bacterial small subunit ribosomal RNA", at positions 28 to 507 of the family's 1533-position model. The record is from RNAcentral.
GACGAACGCUGGCGGCGUGCUUAACACAUGCAAGUCGAACGGAAAGGCCCUGCUUUUGUGGGGUGCUCGAGUGGCGAACGGGUGAGUAACACGUGAGUAACCUGCCCUUGACUUUGGGAUAACUUCAGGAAACUGGGGCUAAUACCGGAUAGGAGCUCCUGCUGCAUAGUGGGGGUUGGAAAGUUUCGGCGGUUGGGGAUGACCCGCGGCUUAUCAGCUUGUUGGUGGGGUAGUGGCUUACCAAGGCUUUGACGGGUAGCCGGCCUGAGAGGGUGACCGGCCACAUUGGGACUGAGAUACGGCCCAGACUCCUACGGGAGGCAGCAGUGGGGAAUAUUGCACAAUGGGCGGAAGCCUGAUGCAGCAACGCCGCGUGCGGGAUGACGGCCUUCGGGUUGUAAACCGCUUUCGCCUGUGACGAAGCGUGAGUGACGGUAAUGGGUAAAGAAGCACCGGCUAACUACGUG